This 787-nucleotide ribosomal RNA is filed under the name uncultured bacterium. Its description in RNAcentral is "bacterial SSU rRNA". It matches the Rfam family "Bacterial small subunit ribosomal RNA", at positions 8 to 796 of the family's 1533-position model. The record is from RNAcentral.
AGAGUUUGAUCAUGGCUCAGGAUGAACGCUGGCGGCGUGCCUAACACAUGCAAGUCGGGCGAACAAAUUUUUAUGAAGCCUUCGGGUAGAUUAAAAAGGAGUUAGCGGCGGACGGGUGAGUAACGCGUGGGCAACCUGCCCUAUACAGAGGGAUAGCCUCGGGAAACCGGGAUUAAUACCUCAUAAAACUCUAGUAUGGCAUCAUACAGGAGUCAAAGAUUUAUCGGUAUAGGAUGGGCCCGCGUCUGAUUAGCUAGUUGGUAAGGUAACGGCUUACCAAGGCAACGAUCAGUAGCCGACCUGAGAGGGUGAUCGGCCACAUUGGAACUGAGACACGGUCCAAACUCCUACGGGAGGCAGCAGUGGGGAAUAUUGCACAAUGGGCGUAAGCCUGAUGCAGCAACGCCGCGUGAGUGAUGAAGGCCUUCGGGUCGCAAAACUCUGUCCUAAGGGAAGAAUAAUGACGGUACCUUAGGAGGAAGCCCCGGCUAACUACGUGCCAGCAGCCGCGGUAAUACGUAGGGGGCGAGCGUUAUCCGGAAUCACUGGGCGUAAAGGGUGCGUAGGCGGUCAGUAAAGUCUGGGGUGAAAGGCUACGGCUUAACCGUAGUAAGCCUUGGAAACUUACUGACUUGAGUGCAGGAGAGGAGAGCGGAAUUCCUAGUGUAGCGGUGAAAUGCGUAGAUAUUAGGAGGAACACCAGUGGCGAAGGCGGCUCUCUGGACUGUAACUGACGCUGAGGCACGAAAGCGUGGGUAGCGAACAGGAUUAGAUACCCUAGUAGUCC